AAAAUUAUUUUUUAAACUAUCAUAUUGGGUGAGGUAUCAAACCAAAGCCAUAGAACACUACAGUCAAAUAUGACCUCAAAUUGAAUUUGCGGAUACUUCAGGUUUUUUAUAGACUACUCGUUGCUUUUUGUUUUUUUUCACAAUUAUUACUGCUACCAUAGUAUUAUCUUUUGUUGUGUAUUUAACUCUGGUUAAUAUCUAUUACAUUAUAGGUUUUGUAACUAUAUCCCCCCUUUUUUCCCUUGCAACGUACCACAGACUUCAAAAGUAUUCCAUAUAAAAAAAGAAGAUGUGAUAUGAUUGCAAAUGAGACAACUCUCCAAAUGAGACCAAAUGAGACAUAAAACAAUUAUAGGUCCCGUACGGGUUUCAACAAUGAGUAAAAUUCAUACUGCAAAGUCUUCAAUUCCCGAAACGAAUAAUGUAAAACAAACAAAAAAUCUAACGGCCUGAUUAAUGUACAAAAUAAAUAAUAAAGAAACCAAUAUAGUAUAUAGAAACAAACGACAAACACUGCAUUACCGUCUCGUAACUUAAAACUGACACAUACAGAUAGUGGCGGGGUUUAACUUUUUUAAGGGCACGCCAACAAUCCCCUAACCUCGGGACUGGAUUCGUGUGUACCAGUGCAACAAGCUUUAUACCAAAUCAACCCUUAUCUCCAUCAUGUUCAUUUUCAUCAACUGUCACAAUAACAAUAACGGUACCAUUUUUUCUGCACCAGAUGCGCAUUUCGACAAUACAUGUCUCUUCAGUGAUGCUCGUGGCCAAAAUAUGUGAAAUCCAAAGCUUAUAUUAAAGAUGAAGAGCUAUAAUCCAAAAGUUCCAAAAAGUAUAGCCAAAUCCGUGAAAUGAAUCAGAGCUUUGCAUGAGGGAGAUACAUUCCUUAAUUUAUAAUAAUUUCUAACAUUUUGACAUGUUUUAAUAUUUCUACACAUUUCACUCAUGGCCACAGGUCUGCACAUGAAAGGUUCUGCUCAAAGCAAACACGUUAUUUUGAGUUUUUCUUUACAAGUACAGACAAGGUAUUGUAGGAAGUCCGAAGACAUUUGUUCCUAAAAAAUACCAGCUUCAAACCAUCCCUAUCAAUUCAUCCAAGAUUUAACAGAGAUCUAUAAGGGGGUUUAGGAAGGUGUGAUGACAUCCAUAUGCUUGUCUGCAAAGAUGCUGGGGAAACAUCAUACGAGAAGUACACACUAUCUUGAAUUCGCUCAAUUUCAUGGUUGGCAACACAUUAGAUAGCGUCGCACUUUAUUUUAAGAAGCAUAAAAUCCAUUGGCAUUCAAUGUUUCAACAAGGUGUUUUGAACCAAACUCACGGUACAUUUGUAAAAGCCAAUCCUAAAUGAAAAGGAGUAAAAUAAAAAAGAUUGCCUCAACAAUUGCUUAGCAUUUCCACAAUUUCUCUGGUGCCAUUUCCUGAGAAUAGUCUUGGCUGUAUGCAGUUUCAUUGAGUAACCAUAGAAUGAAUUGCAAUAAAUACGAAGGCAUUGACUGAAUUAAGAAGGAAGAAACAAUUCAUCCAAAGUUGGGUAGUCUUCUUUAGAGUUUCGAUGUCUUUUCUAAGUAAACUUGCAGCGGAAUUAAAUAUCUGUCCGUUAUUUGUGUCUAUUACAGUUGACAUUGAGAUUUUGAGGUCAGUUUUCAAUUGACUAGAAGCUUAUAUGGCAUCUAAAAUAGUUAAUUUGCUACUAAAUAAUAUGUUAUAUUUGCCUUGAACUUGUUGAAGUUGUUUGACAACUGAAUUUCUAUAGAAAUAAAUGAGUUUAGACUGCAUUUUACAUGUAGAAUAUUUUAAAUUAGAAUCAGCCUGAAGAAAUGAUCUAUAUUUAUCAAGUAACGGUGCCAUGAGGAAUGACCAUUAAAUCGUUGUCAAUAGCCAAAAUAGAAUUAGUAAAAGCAGUAUCGUGUUCUGAAAUAUCUGCUUCCACGGGUUUGGAUUUAUUUAUUUUUUUCGUUUUUAGCAAAUAUUUUGUAAUGCAACCAAAAUGACAGAGUGCUUGAAGUUUAAAAGAUGGACGGGAAACUAUUUCAACUUUAACUUUAUCUGACACGGAUAAAACAUUUUUAAUGCGCUCAUCUGAUUCAAACUUGAGUAAUUUUUUUAUCUUUCUAAAAUGUUUUGUUGCAACAAAAUAUACAAGCGCUCCAGAUGAACGACUGCAUUCUAGAACGUGUACACUGAAUACCCGAAACUGAGGGACAACAGUCAGAUAAUUGUAUGUCGUCAAACUUCCUGCACGGAGUUCUUCAAAUUAACAGCUAUCGCAUGAAACAUCUUGAUGUUCCCCUCAUCCAAUCUUUUAUGCAAUGCAGAUACAAAAGUCGACUUCCCUAAACUGGUAAAUUGACUUAAAAUUUCAAUCGAGGUUUUUUUAGCAUAUUUUUUAUUCACUGCAUAAAAUUUAACGACUUUUGUCUGUUCUUUGGACUUAAUCGAGCAAGUUGCAAAGGACUUGACAUAUCACGGAAUAUUUACUGAAACUAUCCGUCAAUUAUUUUGAUUUUACAAUAAGACUUUUCUGACAAAGUAUAUUUAAUGUUUUAUAACGAAAAAACAUAGAAUAUAAACAUAUACAAACAAAGUAUGUGGCAUAUAUCAGUGCACUUUAAUUGAAA
Molecule: long non-coding RNA, 2618 nt
Filed under: Mytilus galloprovincialis (Mediterranean mussel)
Lineage: Eukaryota; Metazoa; Mollusca; Bivalvia; Mytilida; Mytilidae
Source: RNAcentral